This 497-nucleotide ribosomal RNA is filed under the name uncultured bacterium. RNAcentral's name for it is "partial 16S ribosomal RNA". It matches the Rfam family "Bacterial small subunit ribosomal RNA", at positions 28 to 507 of the family's 1533-position model. The record is from RNAcentral.
GAUGAACGCUGGCGGCGUGCCUAAUACAUGCAAGUCGAGCGAACGGACGAGAAGCUUGCUUCUCUGAUGUUAGCGGCGGACGGGUGAGUAACACGUGGAUAACCUACCUAUAAGACUGGGAUAACUUCGGGAACCCGGAGCUAAUACCGGAUAAUAUUUUGAACCGCAUGGUUCAAAAGUGAAAGACGGUCUUGCUGUCACUUAUAGAUGGAUCCGCGCUGCAUUAGCUAGUUGGUAAGGUAACGGCUUACCAAGGCAACGAUGCAUAGCCGACCUGAGAGGGUGAUCGGCCACACUGGAACUGAGACACGGUCCAGACUCCUACGGGAGGCAGCAGUAGGGAAUCUUCCGCAAUGGGCGAAAGCCUGACGGAGCAACGCCGCGUGAGUGAUGAAGGUCUUCGGAUCGUAAAACUCUGUUAUUAGGGAAGAACAUAUGUGUAAGUAACCGUGCACAUCUUGACGGUACCUAAUCAGAAAGCCACGGCUAACUACGUG